AGAUGAAAAGGGAGAUUGCUCAUUUCUUUGUUCGAAAGUGGACACGGCUCACUACCAGUUCACUACCGCACCCUAGUGUCAAUGUCCAUUAUUUAAGGGGAAAUAGACGUAGUUUAGGAGGGAUUGUGCACUACUCCCCUCAAAAAGUGGAUACGCCGUACAGAGCUGAAAAUAUACGCAUAAGAUUUGCCAUGCUCGUGCCUAGGGUAUUCGUCUACAAGCGCUCCAUCUCGCGGCCGGCUUCGUGCAUCUCCUAAAAGAAGGGGCGCGUGUCGAGUGACGCAGUACGUGCGUGUGUGCGUGCUGACUGUCAGGCAAGCGAAUUCUAAAUUCACUCCUCGAGGCUCGGAAUCUUCGACGCUUCGAGACUCGGAGUCUUCGAGGCUCCGUGUGUUCGAAACCCAGACAAUCCACUCUUUUUUUCUUUGUUGUUUAUUCAUCUGAAAAAAUUCCAACACGUCCGUAGCAUAACUGGACACAUCUGAGAAUUAUUUCAGAUUUUUUUGUUACAAAAUGUAACCGUGAAAAAUAAGAAGAUUUUUAGGUUUGGUGCGUCAAUGCGAAAAAAAUCAAAAACUAUGUACGUCUCAUGUUGAAGUACGUAAAUGAAAGACGCGCUUCCAGCAGCGGCAACAGCGAAGGGGUGAUGACACGAGGU
Long non-coding RNA from Ceratina calcarata, 658 nucleotides. RefSeq lists it as uncharacterized. NCBI's taxonomy places the organism in Eukaryota, Metazoa, Arthropoda, Insecta, Hymenoptera, Apidae. The record is from RefSeq and is a predicted model, not a curated record. The transcript is spliced from 2 exons.